CUGUAUAUGCUCCUGUCGCUAGAUGAGUCCGCGGCGCAUUAGUUAGUUGGCGGGGUAACGGCCCACCAAGACGAUGAUGCGUAGCCGACCUGAGAGGGUGACCGGCCACACUGGGACUGAGACACGGCCCAGACUCCUACGGGAGGCAGCAGUAGGGAAUUUUCGGCAAUGGGCGCAAGCCUGACCGAGCAACGCCGCGUGAGUGAAGAAGGCCUUCGGGUUGUAAAGCUCUGUUGUAAGGGAAGAAUGGCCAAGAGAGGGAAUGCUCUUGGAGUGACGGUACCUUACCAGAAAGCCACGGCUAACUACGUGCCAGCAGCCGCGGUAAUACGUAGGUGGCAAGCGUUAUCCGGAAUUAUUGGGCGUAAAGGGAGCGUAGGCGGUUUGAUAAGUCUGAGGUGAAAGCCCUGGGCUCAACCAUAGUAUGCAUUUGAAACUGAUAGACUUGAGUGCAGGAGAGGGCAAUGGAAUUCCAUGUGUAGCGGUAAAAUGCGUAGAUAUAUGGAGGAACACCAGUGGCGAAGGCGGUUGCCUGGCCUGUAACUGACGCUGAGGCACGAAAGCGUGGGGAGCAAAUAGGAUUAGAUACCCUAGUAGUCCACGCUGUAAACGAUGAAUACUAAGUGUUGGAGAAAUUCAGUGCUGCAGUUAACGCAAUAAGUAUUCCGCCUGGGGAGUAUGCACGCAAGUGUGAAACUCAAAGGAAUUGACGGGACCCCGCACAAGCGGUGGAUUAUGUUGUUUAAUUCGACGCAACGCGAAGAACCUUACCAGGCCUUGACAUACUCGGCAAAGCUCUAGAGACAGGGGAAUAGUUAUGGCGGAUACAGGUGGUGCAUGGUUGUCGUCAGCUCGUGUCGUGAGAUGUUGGGUUAAGUCCCGCAACGAGCGCAACCCUUGUCUUUAGUUGCCAUCAUUAAGUUGGGCACUCUAGAGAGACUGCCGGUGACAAACCGGAGGAAGGUGGGGAUGACGUCAAAUCAUCAUGCCCCUUAUGUCCUGGGCUACACACGUACUACAAUGGCCGAUACAAAGGGCAGCUACCAGGUGACUGGAUGCGAAUCUUUAAAAUCGGUCCCCAGUUCGGAUUGGAGUCUGCAACUCGACUCCAUGAAGUUGGAAUCGCUAGUAAUCGUGGAUCAGCACGCCACGGUGAAUACGUUCCCGGGCCUUGUACACACCGCCCGUCAAACCAUGGGAGUUGGUAAUACCCGAAGCCGGUGGCCUAACCUA
This 1233-nucleotide ribosomal RNA is filed under the name uncultured bacterium. Its description in RNAcentral is "bacterial SSU rRNA". It matches the Rfam family "Bacterial small subunit ribosomal RNA", at positions 202 to 1442 of the family's 1533-position model. The record is from RNAcentral.